Picea glauca (white spruce) is the source of this 123-nucleotide non-coding RNA. The record is from Rfam. Lineage: Eukaryota; Viridiplantae; Streptophyta; Pinopsida; Pinales; Pinaceae.
AUGUCCAUCCCUACAACAUAGCAUUAAUACACUAGAUCCCAUUAGUACUUCAUAGUUAAGCCUGCUCAGGCUGGACUAGUACUCGGAUGGGUGACUUCUUGGGAAGACCUAGUGGUUUACAUG